RNAcentral lists this unclassified non-coding RNA (292 nucleotides) under plant metagenome. RNAcentral describes it as "partial contains small subunit ribosomal RNA, internal transcribed spacer 1, and 5.8S ribosomal RNA". The record is from RNAcentral.
UUUCCGUAGGUGAACCUGCGGAAGGAUCAUUAUUGAAUAAACCUGCUGUUGUUGUAGCUGGCCCCUUCGGGAGCAUGUGCACACCCGUCGUCUUUAUCUUUCCACCUGUGCACCUUUUGUAGACCUGGAUGUAACACUUUCCGAGACAACUCGAUCGGGAGGAAUGCUGUCAGCUUUCCUUGAAUGUCCAGGCCUAUGUUUUCAGAUAACCCAAAGAAUGUAACAGAAUGUAUUAUUGGGCCUUGUGCCUAUAAACUAUAUACAACUUUCAGCAACGGAUCUCUUGGCUCUC